RNAcentral lists this ribosomal RNA (577 nucleotides) under Williopsis jadinii. RNAcentral describes it as "eukaryotic LSU rRNA". It matches the Rfam family "Eukaryotic large subunit ribosomal RNA", at positions 62 to 648 of the family's 3401-position model. The record is from RNAcentral. Lineage: Eukaryota; Fungi; Ascomycota; Saccharomycetes; Phaffomycetales; Wickerhamomycetaceae.
AAACCAACAGGGAUUGCCUCAGUAACGGCGAGUGAAGCGGCAAAAGCUCAAAUUUGAAAUCUGAGGCUCUCAGCCCCCGAGUUGUAAUUUGAAGAUGGUGUUCUGGCGCCGGCCCCCUGUCUACGUUCCUUGGAACAGGACAUCACAGAGGGUGAGAAUCCCGUCUGGCGGGGCGGCCUGGCUCCGUGUAGAGCGCCAUCGACGAGUCGAGUUGUUUGGGAAUGCAGCUCUAAGUGGGUGGUAAAUUCCAUCUAAAGCUAAAUAUUGGCGAGAGACCGAUAGCGAACAAGUACAGUGAUGGAAAGAUGAAAAGAACUUUGAAAAGAGAGUGAAAAAGUACGUGAAAUUGUUGAAAGGGAAGGGUAUUGGAUCAGACUUGGUGCUGUGCGAAUAGCGGCUCUUCUUGGGCCGCCCACUCGCACUCCACCGGGCCAGCAUCGGUUUGGGCGGCAAGACAAUGGCGGGGGAACGUGGCACUGCUCUCGGGCAGUGUGUUUAUAGCCCCCGCUGAUGUUGCCUGCCUAGACCGAGGACUGCGGCUUCUGCCUAGGAUGCUGGCGUAAUGAUCCAACACCGC